GGGCACAUGGUGUAGUUGGUUAUCACAUCCGCUUAGCAUAAUAAUUUAGAAGAUUGUUGUCACUUUGCGGGGGGUGCUGGGUUCAAUUCCCAGUGUGUCCA
This 101-nucleotide transfer RNA is filed under the name Lentinula raphanica. It matches the Rfam family "tRNA". From Rfam's summary of the family: Transfer RNA (tRNA) molecules are approximately 80 nucleotides in length. Their secondary structure includes four short double-helical elements and three loops (D, anti-codon, and T loops). The record is from Rfam by way of RNAcentral. Lineage: Eukaryota; Fungi; Basidiomycota; Agaricomycetes; Agaricales; Omphalotaceae.